Molecule: ribosomal RNA, 425 nt
Filed under: uncultured bacterium
Lineage: Bacteria
Description: partial 16S ribosomal RNA
Rfam family: Bacterial small subunit ribosomal RNA
Source: RNAcentral
GUGGGGAAUCUUGCGCAAUGGGCGAAAGCCUGACGCAGCCAUGCCGCGUGAAUGAUGAAGGUCUUAGGAUUGUAAAAUUCUUUCACCGGGGACGAUAAUGACGGUACCCGGAGAAGAAGCCCCGGCUAACUUCGUGCCAGCAGCCGCGGUAAUACGAAGGGGGCUAGCGUUGUUCGGAAUUACUGGGCGUAAAGGGCGCGUAGGCGGACAGUUUAGUCAGAGGUGAAAGCUCAGGGCUCAACCUUGGAAUUGCCUUUGAUACUGGCUGUCUGGAGUACGGGAGAGGUGAGUGGAACUCCGAGUGUAGAGGUGAAAUUCGUAGAUAUUCGGAAGAACACCAGUGGCGAAGGCGAAUCACUGGCACGUUACUGACGCUGAGGCGCGAAAGCGUGGGGAGCAAACAGGAUUAGAAACCCUGGUAGUCC